This is a small nucleolar RNA of Hippoglossus stenolepis (Pacific halibut), 138 nucleotides long. RefSeq annotates it as small nucleolar RNA SNORA15. Lineage: Eukaryota; Metazoa; Chordata; Actinopteri; Pleuronectiformes; Pleuronectidae. The record is from RefSeq and is a predicted model, not a curated record. The transcript has a single exon.
GCAUGGAAGAAUUCUGUUUUACUCUUGAAAUAGUAAAUGCAGUCAGACACUAUGCUAAAUUAUUGUUUUCACACACUGACUCAAAAACAGAAGAGUGCUUGUUCUGUGCCUCUUUCUUAUCUCAGAGUGAAUACAGAA